GAGCCGUUCUCACGGUUCAGGGAGCCAACACUGACUGACUCUAAGCCAGCGACCCAGUAUAAUAAUAGCAGUCUAGUAUAUGAGUCUUCCUAGCGUCUAACUAUAUUAGCUGGACUCUAAUAACCUGUGUAGCGUCUCAGGCAUUGCUUUUCUGAAAAUAUUUGCUGGAUUGUAGCGUUUAUCUGACUCAGAACUGGGGUUGGCUUGUACCUGCCAAUUGUAAAAGACGUGACCACUUAUAUUGUUGUAACACUUCAACAAGUUUCUUUUUGCAUGUGUUACCAGUGGUGCAUCGUAAAAAUAUUUCAUAAAACUAAGCAAAGCAUAUAGUGUGGACAAAAAGUUGAAUCUUUUUCCUCAAAUAUUGAUAAUGCUCUCGCAAUUUUGGCUCAGUUCAAAUUUAUGACUACAUGUCGAGUAGCUCAUAUGCAAUCACAUUUUUGGAAGAAAGAAAAGAUAUGGAAGAUGAUUCUCAAGAAAGUUGGCCUUCCGCAUCGUAUAGAGACCAAGACAUUCGUGAUCUCGUUCCACUAAUAGACUGUACUGUCUAAUAAAACUGGUCGAAUGAUUGCUGAAUAGAUAAAUAUGAAUAAAAGGACUUUACAAGACUAUUUGAGCAUCCUGGAUGAGGUCACAAUUAUAGAAAAGAGGUGAAACAUGUUAUGCGAGAAGAAACAUUCAAGAUAUAUAGAAGCAAUAAAACGAGAAACAACAAGGAUAUUGAAAAAUACCGAAGUAUACUGAAUGGAAACAACUCGGGAUUAAGCAUAUAAAUGCAUAAAGGAGAUUAUUUAAAAAAUUAUAACAAUAAUACGAACAAAAAUUGAAAUAAGUUUUACAAAUUUUGCUACGAACUUUUUGUCCACAAUACAUAUAACUUGGUUAUGGCCACUCAUCACUGACACGCUUUUUAAGGCACAAAAACUUCGGGGAAACGUUAUGAA
Eufriesea mexicana is the source of this 944-nucleotide long non-coding RNA. RefSeq lists it as uncharacterized. The transcript has 4 exons. The record is from RefSeq and is a predicted model, not a curated record. Lineage: Eukaryota; Metazoa; Arthropoda; Insecta; Hymenoptera; Apidae.